Molecule: small nuclear RNA, 104 nt
Organism: Arvicanthis niloticus (Nile rat)
Lineage: Eukaryota; Metazoa; Chordata; Mammalia; Rodentia; Muridae
Source: RefSeq, a predicted model, not a curated record
GCUCGCUUUGGCAGCACAUAACUAAAACUGGAACAAUACAGAGAAGGUUAGCAUGGCUCCUGUACAAGGAUGGCACACAAAACAAGGAACUAGAGAGAACUCUU